RNAcentral lists this small RNA (218 nucleotides) under Pontibacillus yanchengensis Y32. RNAcentral describes it as "SR1 sRNA". It matches the Rfam family "SR1 sRNA". Lineage: Bacteria; Bacillati; Bacillota; Bacilli; Caryophanales; Bacillaceae. The record is from Rfam by way of RNAcentral.
GUAUAGCUUUUGAAAGCGGUUUAAUAAUACUGAAAAGGGAGUUGAAUUAUCAAUGGGUACAAUCGUAUGUCAGGACUGUCAGGGAAUUAUUGAUCAUUUUGAAGAUGAAAAGGUAUCAACUCUUUACGGUAAAUGUACUUCUUGUAAUGACGAAGAACUAGAAUAGAUGUAAAUAGAAAAGCCUGCCACUCUAUAGUAGAAGAGUGACAGGCUUUUUU